RNAcentral lists this transfer RNA (90 nucleotides) under Syntrophothermus lipocalidus DSM 12680. It matches the Rfam family "tRNA". From Rfam's summary of the family: Transfer RNA (tRNA) molecules are approximately 80 nucleotides in length. Lineage: Bacteria; Bacillati; Bacillota; Clostridia; Eubacteriales; Syntrophomonadaceae. The record is from Rfam by way of RNAcentral.
GGAGAGGUGGCUGAGUGGACUAAGGCGCUCGACUCGAAAUCGAGUGGGCUGUGAUGAGCGGUCCCGUGGGUUCGAAUCCCACCCUCUCCG